RNAcentral lists this transfer RNA (73 nucleotides) under Cordylochernes scorpioides. Its description in RNAcentral is "tRNA-Thr". It matches the Rfam family "tRNA". Rfam says of the family: Transfer RNA (tRNA) molecules are approximately 80 nucleotides in length. Their secondary structure includes four short double-helical elements and three loops (D, anti-codon, and T loops). Lineage: Eukaryota; Metazoa; Arthropoda; Arachnida; Pseudoscorpiones; Chernetidae. The record is from RNAcentral.
UCCAGGGUAGCCUAGUGGACAUGGCAUCUGCCCGGUAAGCCUAACACUGUGGGUUCGUUUCCCAUCCCUGGAC